RNAcentral lists this long non-coding RNA (227 nucleotides) under Elaeis guineensis (African oil palm). Its description in RNAcentral is "long non-coding RNA (EGUI_LNC049385)". Lineage: Eukaryota; Viridiplantae; Streptophyta; Magnoliopsida; Arecales; Arecaceae. The record is from RNAcentral.
UGGGCUUGGGUGCCCCAACACUUUGCACCCUUUUCUUAUUCUUCUUGUUCUUCUUUCCUUUCUUAAAGGAUCGACGUUCAGAAGAUGACCCUCCCACAACAUUCACCGACUCCUUUUGAAGCUGGUGAUCCUUCUCAAAGUUUUACAAUAACCCCAGCAAACUGUAGUAGUUAACUGCAGAUUUUGUCAUUUGAAAAUGAGUAAGGAAAGAAAGGUAGGACUUGGGC